This 377-nucleotide unclassified non-coding RNA is filed under the name fungal sp. RNAcentral's name for it is "partial internal transcribed spacer region". The stretch from base 1 to 46 matches the Rfam family "Eukaryotic small subunit ribosomal RNA", at positions 1786 to 1831 of the family's 1831-position model. Lineage: Eukaryota; Fungi. The record is from RNAcentral.
AAGUCGUAACAAGGUUUCCGUAGGUGAACCUGCGGAAGGAUCAUUACUGGAUAUCCUCUUGUGGAUUAUCUUAUCACGUGUGAACUGUUUUGAUUAACGCCGGUGGUGCUUCGCUACUUGGUUUUGACUGCUGCUGUGCUGGAACGCGAGGUGAAGACAUGCAAAACAAUUGUGUGUCAGAAUCUGCCGUGUCCCGUCGCCAACAGUCACUGCCAAGGGCGUGCGCCAUUGGAUUCCCGUGGUGUAUGCCGAAGCGUUCAACGGAGACGUGAAUGCGGGUUGGCGCGCCAUUGGGCUUUUUUACCCAUUUAUCCGAACUGACUCUGAAAACAACACAAAGCCUUAGAAAACUUUUAGCAAUGGAUCUCUAGGCUCUU